Molecule: ribosomal RNA, 467 nt
Filed under: uncultured bacterium
Lineage: Bacteria
Description: partial 16S ribosomal RNA
Rfam family: Bacterial small subunit ribosomal RNA
Source: RNAcentral
GACGAACGCUGGCGGCGUGCUUAACACAUGCAAGUCGAACGGAAAGGCCCUGCUUUUGUGGGGUGCUCGAGUGGCGAACGGGUGAGUAACACGUGAGUAACCUGCCCUUGACUUUGGGAUAACUUCAGGAAACUGGGGCUAAUACCGGAUAGGAGCUCCUGCUGCAUGGUGGGGGUUGGAAAGUUUCGGCGGUUGGGGAUGGACUCGCGGCUUAUCAGCUUGUUGGUGGGGUAGUGGCUUACCAAGGCUUUGACGGGUAGCCGGCCUGGGAGGGUGACCGGCAACGAAGGGCUUGAGGUGCAGCCCGAGCACCACGGGGAGGCAUAAGUGGGAAAUUAGGCACAAGGGGGGGAACCCUGAAGCGGGAACGCGGGGGGGGGUAGGGCGGCUUUAGGGUUGUAAACCGCUUUCCCCUGGAAGGAGGGUCAGUGAAAGGAAAUGGAUAAAAAGACACCGAGAAAUUAGGG